UACGAAGGGUGCAAGCGUUACUCGGAAUCACUGGGCGUAAAGCGUGCGUAGGCGGUUCGUUAAGUCUGCUGUGAAAGCCCUGGGCUCAACCUGGGAACUGCAGUGGAUACUGGCGAGCUAGAGUGUGAUAGAGGAUGGUGGAAUUCCCGGUGUAGCGGUGAAAUGCGUAGAUAUCGGAAGGAACAUCAGUGGCGAAAGCGGCUUCCUGGACCAGUACCGACGUUCAGGCACGAAAGCGUGGGGAGCAAACAGG
Molecule: ribosomal RNA, 253 nt
Filed under: uncultured bacterium
Lineage: Bacteria
Description: partial 16S ribosomal RNA
Rfam family: Bacterial small subunit ribosomal RNA
Source: RNAcentral